This 295-nucleotide long non-coding RNA is filed under the name Homo sapiens (human). RNAcentral's name for it is "HSALNT0309888". Lineage: Eukaryota; Metazoa; Chordata; Mammalia; Primates; Hominidae. The record is from RNAcentral.
GGGUCUCAGAGGUGAGGCGGGGUCUCGGAGGCGGGGGGCGGGGCCUCGGAGGUGAAGCGGGGUCUCGGAGGCGGGGGGCGGGGCUUCAGAGGCAGGGGUCUCAGAGAAAGGGGUCUCGGAGGUGGAGGCGGGGUCUCGGAGGUGGAGGCGGGGCCACGGAGGCGGGGCGGGCAUCUCAAAGGCGGGGUUGGGGGGUGUCUCAGAGGCGAGGCGGGGUCCCAGAGGCGAGGGUUGCCUGAACUUCGGGGCGUCACACUUGCUGCGGGUAGAUCCCGGGGUUCAGCCGACACAUGCA